This is a long non-coding RNA of Magnolia sinica, 608 nucleotides long. RefSeq lists it as uncharacterized. The record is from RefSeq and is a predicted model, not a curated record. The transcript is spliced from 2 exons. Lineage: Eukaryota; Viridiplantae; Streptophyta; Magnoliopsida; Magnoliales; Magnoliaceae.
AAAACAUUCAAUGUGUAGUGCCUGAAAGCUUGUUCUUGGUUGGAAAUGUAAAGAGCUAAAAUAUUUUCCAACAAGUAAUUGGAAAAUGCAGGUUCAAAAUCAUCAAAAUAUAAAGUACAAUGGAACAGUACAAGGCUCGAAGUAUAUAUGGAGAACUGAAGGUUUUCGUGGCCUAUUUAAUGGCAAUGGUACCAAUUGUGCAUGGCAUAGUGCCAAACUCGGCAGUCAAGUUUUUUUUAGCUAUGAGCAAUCAUCUAGGUUUGGUUUCUCUGCAUUGAAUCAUUUUCUUACAUUGUUUGAAGGCUGAUGCCAAUAUCUCUUUAAUUUUAUUUGUGCUGAUUGAUGUGUAUGAAUUUAUAACAUUUUGUCAUGAUUGAUGUCAAGUUCUUUAGACAUCUAUGUUCGAUGCCUAUGAUCCUUUUUUUAGUAAAUGGCAUAAAAGUCCCCUCAUUGUGCAUACCAAAACAUUUACUUGGAAUGUUAUUGUAAGAGUGCAUGACAUAAUCAUCAAACAUGCCAUCCUUUUGGCUUUUUAUAUUGUUGCUAAAGAUUAAUUUAUUAGAAUGCCUAUUAAGUAGCUCACAAGUUAAAAUAGAAAAAAAGAAAGA